RNAcentral lists this ribosomal RNA (628 nucleotides) under Anthocoris miyamotoi. Its description in RNAcentral is "eukaryotic LSU rRNA". It matches the Rfam family "Eukaryotic large subunit ribosomal RNA", at positions 677 to 1265 of the family's 3401-position model. The record is from RNAcentral. Lineage: Eukaryota; Metazoa; Arthropoda; Insecta; Hemiptera; Anthocoridae.
AGCGUGUGCGCGAGUCACUGGGUGACAAACCUAAAGGCGGAAUGAAAGUAAAGGGGGCUUUGCUUCCCGAGGGAAGAUGGGCACGUCUUGCCUUUAUAAGGCGGUGCCCCGCAUUCCCGGGGCGUCUCUCUUCUCUAUACGAGUGGAGGCGCACCUAUAGCGCACACGCUGAUACCCGAAAGAUGGUGAACUAUGCCUGGCCAGGACGAAGCCAGGGGAAACCCUGGUGGAGGUCCGCAGCGAUUCUGACGUGCAAAUCGAUCGUCGGAGCUGGGUAUAGGGGCGAAAGGCCAAUCGAACCAUCUAGUAGCUGGUUCCCUCUGAAGUUUCCCUCAGGAUAGCUUGCGCUCGGAGAGAAGAGUCUCAUCCGGUAGAGCGAAUGAUUAGAGGCCUUGGGGUCGAAACGACCUCAACCUAUUCUCAAACUCCAAAUGUAUGAGAUGCCCGGCUUGCUUGAAAGUGAAGCCGGGACUCGGAUCAGAGUGCCAAGUGGGCCAAUUUUGGUAAGCAGAACUGGCGCUGUGGGAUGAACCAAACGCAGAGUUAAGGCGCCUGAAUCGACGCUCAUGUGAAACCAUGAAAGGCGUUGGUUGCUUAAGACAGCAGGAUGGUGGCCAUGGAAGUCGGA